GAGAGAUCCUUUGAUUCUGCAGCAGGUAUGGCAGUUAGUACCAGGAGAGAGCCUUUGAUUCUGCAGCAGGUAUGACAGUUAGUACCAGGAGAGAGCCUUUGAUUCUGCAGUAGGUAUGACAGUACCAGGAGAGAGCCUUUGAUUCUGCAGUAGGUAUGACAGUACCAGGAGAGAGCCUUUGAUUCUGCAGCAGGUAUGCCAGUACCAGGAGAGAUCCUUUGAUUCUGCAGCAGGUAUGACAGUUAGUACCAGGAGAGAGCCUUUGAUUCUGCAGUAGGUAUGACAGUACCAGGAGAGAGCCUUUGAUUCUGCAGUAGGUAUGACAGUUAGUACCAGGAGAGAGCCUUUGAUUCUGCAGUAGGUAUGACAGUGAGUACCAGGAGAGAGCCUUUGAUUCUGCAGCAGGUAUGACAGUUAGUACCAGGAGAGAGCCUUUGAUUCUGCAGCAGGUAUGACAGUACCAGGAGAGAGCCUUUGAUUCUGCAGUAGGUAUGACAGUACCAGGAG
Long non-coding RNA from Oncorhynchus keta (chum salmon), 507 nucleotides. RefSeq lists it as uncharacterized. The record is from RefSeq and is a predicted model, not a curated record. Lineage: Eukaryota; Metazoa; Chordata; Actinopteri; Salmoniformes; Salmonidae. The transcript has 5 exons.